This 374-nucleotide ribosomal RNA is filed under the name uncultured Desulfobulbus sp. RNAcentral's name for it is "bacterial SSU rRNA". It matches the Rfam family "Bacterial small subunit ribosomal RNA", at positions 1009 to 1382 of the family's 1533-position model. The record is from RNAcentral. Lineage: Bacteria; Pseudomonadati; Thermodesulfobacteriota; Desulfobulbia; Desulfobulbales; Desulfobulbaceae.
AGAUUUUGCCUUCGGGUACAAUUGAGACAGGUGGUGCAUGGUUGUCGUCAGCUCGUGUCGUGAGAUGUUGGGUUAAGUCCCGCAACGAGCGCAACCCUUGCCUUUAGUUGCCAGCAGUUCGGCUGGGCACUCUAAAGGGACUGCCGGUGUUAAACCGGAGGAAGGUGGGGAUGACGUCAAGUCCUCAUGGCCUUUAUGACCAGGGCUACACACGUACUACAAUGGCCGAUACAAAGGGCAGCGACACUGCGAGGUGAAGCCAAUCCCGUAAAAUCGGUCUCAGUCCGGAUUGGAGUCUGCAACUCGACUCCAUGAAGUUGGAAUCGCUAGUAAUCGUGGAUCAGCAUGCCACGGUGAAUACGUUCCCGGGCCCU